This 1372-nucleotide ribosomal RNA is filed under the name uncultured bacterium. Its description in RNAcentral is "bacterial SSU rRNA". It matches the Rfam family "Bacterial small subunit ribosomal RNA", at positions 28 to 1381 of the family's 1533-position model. The record is from RNAcentral.
GAUGAACGCUGGCGGCGUGCCUAAUACAUGCAAGUCGAGCGAACGGACGAGAAGCUUGCUUCUCUGAUGUUAGCGGCGGACGGGUGAGUAACACGUGGAUAACCUACCUAUAAGACUGGGAUAACUUCGGGAAACCGGAGCUAAUACCGGAUAAUAUUUUGAACCGCAUGGUUCAAAAGUGAAAGACGGUCUUGCUGUCACUUAUAGAUGGAUCCGCGCUGCAUUAGCUAGUUGGUAAGGUAACGGCUUACCAAGGCAACGAUGCAUAGCCGACCUGAGAGGGUGAUCGGCCACACUGGAACUGAGACACGGUCCAGACUCCUACGGGAGGCAGCAGUAGGGAAUCUUCCGCAAUGGGCGAAAGCCUGACGGAGCAACGCCGCGUGAGUGAUGAAGGUCUUCGGAUCGUAAAACUCUGUUAUUAGAGAAGAACAUAUGUGUAAGUAACUGUGCACAUCUUGACGGUACCUAAUCAGAAAGCCACGGCUAACUACGUGCCAGCAGCCGCGGUAAUACGUAGGUGGCAAGCGUUAUCCGGAAUUAUUGGGCGUAAAGCGCGCGUAGGCGGUUUUUUAAGUCUGAUGUGAAAGCCCACGGCUCAACCGUGGAGGGUCAUUGGAAACUGGAAAACUUGAGUGCAGAAGAGGAAAGUGGAAUUCCAUGUGUAGCGGUGAAAUGCGCAGAGAUAUGGAGGAACACCAGUGGCGAAGGCGACUUUCUGGUCUGUAACUGACGCUGAUGUGCGAAAGCGUGGGGAUCAAACAGGAUUAGAUACCCUGGUAGUCCACGCCGUAAACGAUGAGUGCUAAGUGUUAGGGGGUUUCCGCCCCUUAGUGCUGCAGCUAACGCAUUAAGCACUCCGCCUGGGGAGUACGACCGCAAGGUUGAAACUCAAAGGAAUUGACGGGGACCCGCACAAGCGGUGGAGCAUGUGGUUUAAUUCGAAGCAACGCGAAGAACCUUACCAAAUCUUGACAUCCUUUGACAACUCUAGAGAUAGAGCUUUCCCCUUCGGGGGACAAAGUGACAGGUGGUGCAUGGUUGUCGUCAGCUCGUGUCGUGAGAUGUUGGGUUAAGUCCCGCAACGAGCGCAACCCUUAAGCUUAGUUGCCAUCAUUAAGUUGGGCACUCUAAGUUGACUGCCGGUGACAAACCGGAGGAAGGUGGGGAUGACGUCAAAUCAUCAUGCCCCUUAUGAUUUGGGCUACACACGUGCUACAAUGGACAAUACAAAGGGCAGCGAAACCGCGAGGUCAAGCAAAUCCCAUAAAGUUGUUCUCAGUUCGGAUUGUAGUCUGCAACUCGACUACAUGAAGCUGGAAUCGCUAGUAAUCGUAGAUCAGCAUGCUACGGUGAAUACGUUCCCGGGUCU